RNAcentral lists this long non-coding RNA (414 nucleotides) under Capsicum annuum. RNAcentral's name for it is "long non-coding RNA (CANN_LNC021570)". Lineage: Eukaryota; Viridiplantae; Streptophyta; Magnoliopsida; Solanales; Solanaceae. The record is from RNAcentral.
GAUAAGCAACCAGUCAUUUCUUACAAAUACCCAUUUCAUUAGUUAACCAUCAUCCCACAAUUAUCAUCAAUCUGUUAAUUACCGACAUUUAACAAUGUACCCACAUUUCAUAAUAUUACCAUCAUUUAACAACCUUAUCAUUGAUAAUCACUAGUCACCAUUCAUUAGAUAACCAUCAUUUAUCAACUAACAUCAUUGAUUAUCUAAUCAUAAUUUACCAACAAAUCUUCGAUUAUCAACUAGUCAUGACUAGUCACUUAAACAAUAUCCACCACUAAUCCUUGUUUAUCACUAAUCAUCAACUAUACCACCUCAUAAUCCUUUAUCACUAACCAACAAUUAUCACUAAUUCUCACAAGUCCACAAAUUAUCAUUUUUACCACUUCCGGGCUAUAUAUGAUAUUUCUAAUAUCG